Molecule: ribosomal RNA, 829 nt
Filed under: Lactobacillus delbrueckii subsp. bulgaricus
Lineage: Bacteria; Bacillati; Bacillota; Bacilli; Lactobacillales; Lactobacillaceae
Description: bacterial SSU rRNA
Rfam family: Bacterial small subunit ribosomal RNA
Source: RNAcentral
UUGCUCCGCAUGGGAGGGGGGCGGGCCUAUACAUGCAGUCGAGCGAGCUGAAUUCAAAGAUUCCUUCGGGAUGAUUUGUUGGACGCUAGCGGCGGAUGGGUGAGUAACACGUGGGCAAUCUGCCCUAAAGACUGGGAUACCACUUGGAAACAGGUGCUAAUACCGGAUAACAACAUGAAUCGCAUGAUUCAAGUUUGAAAGGCGGCGUAAGCUGUCACUUUAGGAUGAGCCCGCGGCGCAUUAGCUAGUUGGUGGGGUAAAGGCCUACCAAGGCAAUGAUGCGUAGCCGAGUUGAGAGACUGAUCGGCCACAUUGGGACUGAGACACGGCCCAAACUCCUACGGGAGGCAGCAGUAGGGAAUCUUCCACAAUGGACGCAAGUCUGAUGGAGCAACGCCGCGUGAGUGAAGAAGGUUUUCGGAUCGUAAAGCUCUGUUGUUGGUGAAGAAGGAUAGAGGCAGUAACUGGUCUUUAUUUGACGGUAAUCAACCAGAAAGUCACGGCUAACUACGUGCCAGCAGCCGCGGUAAUACGUAGGUGGCAAGCGUUGUCCGGAUUUAUUGGGCGUAAAGCGAGCGCAGGCGGAAUGAUAAGUCUGAUGUGAAAGCCCACGGCUCAACCGUGGAACUGCAUCGGAAACUGUCAUUCUUGAGUGCAGAAGAGGAGAGUGGAAUUCCCAUGUGUAGCGGUGGAAUGCGUAGAUAUAUGGAAGAACACCAGUGGCGAAGGCGGGCUCUCUGGUCUGCAACUGACGCCUGAGGCUCGAAAGCAUGGGGUAGCGAACAGGGAUUAUAUACCCUGGUAGUCCCAUUGCCCGUACAACCGAUGC